Molecule: ribosomal RNA, 1226 nt
Filed under: metagenome
Description: bacterial SSU rRNA
Rfam family: Bacterial small subunit ribosomal RNA
Source: RNAcentral
GGCUAAUACCGGAUGUGAUCUUACUAACGCAUGUUAGAAAGAUUAAAGGAGUGAUCCGCUUAGGGAUGAGCUUGCGGCCCAUUAGUUUGUUGGCGGGGUAACGGCCCACCAAGACUGCGAUGGGUAGCCGGCCUGAGAGGGUGGACGGCCACAUUGGGACUGAGAUACGGCCCAGACUCCUACGGGAGGCAGCAGUAGGGAAUUUUGCGCAAUGGACGAAAGUCUGACGCAGCAACGCCGCGUGAGGGAUGACUGCCUUCGGGUUGUAAACCUCUGUUGGAUGGGAAAAAACGGUAGCAAUACCUUGAUGGUACCAUUCGAGUAAGCACCGGCUAACUACGUGCCAGCAGCCGCGGUAAUACGUAGGGUGCAAGCGUUGUUCGGAAUUACUGGGCGUAAAGGGAGCGUAGGCGGGAUCGUAAGUUAGGAGUUUAAUGCAUGGGCUUAACCCAUGACCUGCUCUUAAUACUGCGGUUCUUGAGUAUGGGAGAGGGCGAUGGAAUUCCAGGUGUAGCGGUGGAAUGCGUAGAUAUCUGGAAGAACACCAGUAGCGAAGGCGGUCGCCUGGCCCAAUACUGACGCUGAGGCUCGAAAGCUAGGGGAGCGAACAGGAUUAGAUACCCUGGUAGUCCUAGCCGUAAACGAUGAACACUAGUUGCCGGAGGAGUCAAUCUUUUCGGUGACGAAGCUAACGCAUUAAGUGUUCCGCCUGGGAAGUACGCCCGCAAGGGUGAAACUCAAAGGAAUUGACGGGGGCCCGCACAAGCGGUGGAGUAUGUGCUUUAAUUCGAUGCAACGCGAAGAACCUUACCUAGACUUGACAUGGGGGUGAAAAUCCGUAGAAAUAUGGAACCUUCCGCAAGGAACACCCUACACAGGUGCUGCAUGGUUGUCGUCAGCUCGUGUCGUGAGAUGUUGGGUUAAGUCCCGCAACGAGCGCAACCCUCGUCCUUAGUUGCUAACAGGUUAUGCUGAGAACUCUAAGGAGACUGCCUGGUUUAACCAGGAGGAAGGUGGGGAUGACGUCAAAUCCUCAUGGCCCUUACGUCUAGGGCUAGACACGUACUACAAUGGCCGGUACAACGGGCUGCAAGUCGGUGACGACAAGCUAAUCCCUUAAAACCGGUCUCAGUUCGGAUUGAAGUCUGCAAUUCGACUUCAUGAAGCUGGAAUCGCUAGUAAUCGCGGAUCAGCAUGCCGCGGUGAAUACGUUCCCGGGCCUUGUC